GGAUCAGUAUGUUGGUCGUGCUUCGGUACGUACUGUCAUUACUGGUUUCUCCCUUCUGAAGAACCUUGAUGUCAUUAAUUUGGUGUCUUGGGGAAUCAGGACUGUUACUUUGAAAAAAUUAGAGUGUUUAAAGCAGGCAUACGCUUGAAUACAUUAGCAUGGAAUAAUGAAAUAGGACGUUUGAUUCUAUUUUGUUGGUUUCUAGGAUCGACGUA
This 215-nucleotide ribosomal RNA is filed under the name Glomus sp. RNAcentral's name for it is "partial small subunit ribosomal RNA". The stretch from base 36 to 215 matches the Rfam family "Eukaryotic small subunit ribosomal RNA", at positions 683 to 864 of the family's 1831-position model. Lineage: Eukaryota; Fungi; Glomeromycota; Glomeromycetes; Glomerales; Glomeraceae. RNAcentral also lists the same sequence under 3 other names. The record is from RNAcentral.